GGGUACAGAACUUUAGGAUGCAUAAAGCAACCUUCAUGGAGCUAUGUGCUGAGCUGUCCCCCGACCUGCGGUGCAAGGACACCAGAUUGACAGCUGCCCUUCCGGUAGAGAAGCGUGUUGCAAUCGGUGUGUAGAAGCUGGCGAAUCCAGACUGCUACCACUCAGUUGCAAAUCAAUUUGAAGGGGCAACUUACCCGGAGACUCAUCUGCUUCCUG
Long non-coding RNA from Chelonia mydas (Green sea turtle), 216 nucleotides. RefSeq lists it as uncharacterized. Lineage: Eukaryota; Metazoa; Chordata; Testudines; Cheloniidae. The record is from RefSeq and is a predicted model, not a curated record. The transcript has 3 exons.